This 498-nucleotide ribosomal RNA is filed under the name uncultured bacterium. RNAcentral describes it as "partial 16S ribosomal RNA". It matches the Rfam family "Bacterial small subunit ribosomal RNA", at positions 30 to 523 of the family's 1533-position model. The record is from RNAcentral.
AUUGAACGCUGGCGGCAUGCCUUACACAUGCAAGUCGAACGGUAACAGGUCUUCGGAUGCUGACGAGUGGCGAACGGGUGAGUAAUGCAUCGGAACGUGCCCAGUCGUGGGGGAUAACGCAGCGAAAGCUGUGCUAAUACCGCAUACGAUCUAUGGAUGAAAGCGGGGGACCGUAAGGCCUCGCGCGAUUGGAGCGGCCGAUGUCAGAUUAGGUAGUUGGUGGGGUAAAGGCUCACCAAGCCAACGAUCUGUAGCUGGUCUGAGAGGACGACCAGCCACACUGGGACUGAGACACGGCCCAGACUCCUACGGGAGGCAGCAGUGGGGAAUUUUGGACAAUGGGCGCAAGCCUGAUCCAGCAAUGCCGCGUGCAGGAAGAAGGCCUUCGGGUUGUAAACUGCUUUUGUACGGAACGAAACGGUCCGGGUUAAUACCCUGGGCUAAUGACGGUACCGUAAGAAUAAGCACCGGCUAACUUCGUGCCAGCCGCCGCAGUAA